CCUACGGGUGGCAGCAGUGAGGAAUAUUGGUCAAUGGACGAGAGUCUGAACCAGCCAAGUAGCGUGAAGGAUGACUGCCCUAUGGGUUGUAAACUUCUUUUAUAAAGGAAUAAAACGAGGCACGUGUGCCUUUUUGCAUGUACUUGAUGAAUAAGGAUCGGCUAACUCCGUGCCAGCAGCCGCGGUAAUACGGAGGAUCCGAGCGUUAUCCGGAUUUAUUGGGUUUAAAGGGAGCGUAGAUGGGUUGUUAAGUCAGUUGUGAAAGUUUGCGGCUCAACCGUAAAAUUGCAAUUGAUACUGGCAGUCGUGAGUACAGUUGAGGUAGGCGGAAUGCGUGGUGUAGCGGUGAAAUGCUUAGAUAUCACGAAGAACCCCGAUUGCGAAGGCAGCUUACUAAACUGUGACUGACAUUGAUGCUCGAAAGUGUGGGUAUCAAACAGGAUUAGAUACCCCAGUAGUC
RNAcentral lists this ribosomal RNA (460 nucleotides) under uncultured bacterium. RNAcentral describes it as "partial 16S ribosomal RNA". It matches the Rfam family "Bacterial small subunit ribosomal RNA", at positions 338 to 795 of the family's 1533-position model. The record is from RNAcentral.